Molecule: ribosomal RNA, 253 nt
Filed under: uncultured bacterium
Lineage: Bacteria
Description: partial 16S ribosomal RNA
Rfam family: Bacterial small subunit ribosomal RNA
Source: RNAcentral
UACGUAGGGUGCAAGCGUUGUCCGGAAUUAUUGGGCGUAAAGAGCUCGUAGGCGGUCUGUCGCGUCGGCUGUGAAAACUCGGGGCUCAACUCCGAGCUUGCAGUCGAUACGGGCAGGCUAGAGUUCGGCAGGGGAGACUGGAAUUCCUGGUGUAGCGGUGAAAUGCGCAGAUAUCAGGAGGAACACCGGUGGCGAAGGCGGCGAUCUGGGUCGAUACUGACGCUGAGGUGCGAAAGCGUGGGGAGCAAACAGG